GGGCGCGCUUAUGCAUGCAGUCGAGCGAGGCUCCACCCUUCGGGGUGGAUGUCCUAGCGGCAAACGGCUGAGUAACGCGUGGGUGAUCUACCCCAGAGAGGGGAAUAACCCGCCGAAAGGCGGACUAAUUCCGCAUACGCUCCACCGUGUAAAGGCGGUGGUGGAAAGGUUUCCGGGCAACCGGGGCCGCUCUGGGAGGAGCUCGCGUCCUAUCAGGUUGUUGGUGGGGUAACGGCCUACCAAAUGCCAGAGACGGGUAGCUGGUGUGAGAGCACGACCAGCCAGAGGGGGACUGAGACACGGCCCCCACUCCUACGGGAGGCAGCAGCAGGGAAUCUUGCACAAUGGGCGAAAGCCUGAUGCAGCGACGCCGCGUGAGGGACGAAGGCUCUAGGGUUGUAAACCUCUUUUCUCAGGGAAGAGCAAGGACGGUACCUGAGGAAUAAGCCACGGCUAACUACGUGCCAGCAGCCGCGGUAAUACGUAGGUGGCGAGCGUUGUCCGGAAUUAUUGGGCGUAAAGGGUCCGUAGGCUGUUUUGUAAGUCUCCUGUGAAAACUCCAGGCUCAACUUGGAGCGGUCGGGGGAUACUGCAGGACUGGAGGCUGUCAGAGGAAAGCGGAAUUCCCGGUGUAGUGGUGAAAUGCGUAGAUAUCGGGAGGAACAUCAGUGGCGAAAGCGGCUUUCUGGGACAGUUCUGACGCUGAGGGACGAAAGCGUGGGGAGCAAACCGGAUUAGAUACCCGGGUAGUCCACGCCCUAAACGAUGGAUGCUAGGUUUGUGGGGUAUCGACCCCCUGCGAGCCAAAGCUAACGCGAUAAGCAUCCCGCCUGGGGACUACGGCCGCAAGGCUAAAACUCAAAGGAAUUGACGGGGGCCCGCACAAGCAGCGGAGCGUGUGGUUUAAUUCGAUGGUAAGCGAAGAACCUUACCUGGGCUUGACAUGCAAGUGGUACUGAACCGAAAGGCAAGGGACCCGCAAGGGAGCUUGCACAGGUGCUGCAUGGCUGUCGUCAGCUCGUGCCGUGAGGUGUUGGGUUAAGUCCCGCAACGAGCGCAACCCCUGCGGUUAGUUGAAUUCUCUAGCCGGACUGCCCUUAAACGGGAGGAAGGUGGGGACGACGUCAAGUCAUCAUGGCUCUUACGUCCAGGGCUACACACACGCUACAAUGGCCGGUACAGACGGUUGCGAAGCCGUGAGGUGGAGCCAAUCCUACAAAGCCGGUCCAAGUUGGGAUUGCAGGCUGCAACUCGCCUGCAUGAACGCGGAGUUGCUAGUAAACGCAGGUCAGCAUACUGCGUUGAAUACGUUCCCGGGCCUUGUACACACCGCCCGUCACGUCAUGGGAGUUGGCAACGCCUGAAGUCGCUGGGCUAACCCUUCGGGGAGGCAGGCGCCGAGGUGGG
RNAcentral lists this ribosomal RNA (1407 nucleotides) under uncultured Chloroflexota bacterium. RNAcentral describes it as "bacterial SSU rRNA". It matches the Rfam family "Bacterial small subunit ribosomal RNA". Lineage: Bacteria; Bacillati; Chloroflexota. The record is from RNAcentral.